RNAcentral lists this ribosomal RNA (254 nucleotides) under Aeromicrobium alkaliterrae. RNAcentral describes it as "partial 16S ribosomal RNA". It matches the Rfam family "Bacterial small subunit ribosomal RNA", at positions 924 to 1178 of the family's 1533-position model. Lineage: Bacteria; Bacillati; Actinomycetota; Actinomycetes; Propionibacteriales; Nocardioidaceae. The record is from RNAcentral.
CUCAAGCGGCGGAGCAUGCGGAUUAAUUAGAUGCAACGCGAAGAACCUUAUCAGGACUUGACAUCUGCGAGAACGCACCUGAAGACGUCACCUCUCCGCUCGAUAGUAACCAGGUCGUGCAUGGUGGUAGUCAGAUCGGGUCGUGAGAUGUGUGGUUAAGUCCCGUAACGAGAGCAACGCUUGUUUUAUGUUGCCAGCACAUAAUUCUGGGAACUCAUGGAAUACUCCCGGGGUCAAUUCGGAGGAAGAAGGGG